Molecule: long non-coding RNA, 753 nt
Organism: Drosophila biarmipes
Lineage: Eukaryota; Metazoa; Arthropoda; Insecta; Diptera; Drosophilidae
Exons: 2
Source: RefSeq, a predicted model, not a curated record
UAGUUUUUUGCUGUUUUCCACUUUCUAAAUAGAAAUUGGGUACUUUCAGAAGGGCUCCUAACUAUAAGAUACUAAGCGAUUCUAGUAAUGCCAAUUAGCGAGAAAUAACAUUAGUCGGAAAUGGCAUUCUAGCCAAGGCAGUCCGAUCAAAGGGAAUUUGUUCUGCACUUGCGUAACCCUGUGAGCCCAAGACUGGUCGGACUUGAAUGAAAUCGUAAACUAGCAACUAAUCGACAGACGGCUAUCAGCAAUCCCUCUCCACCUAGCCCCUCCUCCUGGAUCUGACUGAAACGCCGAGUAAGCAAAGCACUCGAGUGCGGCUCUCGAGCGACUGGACAUUAUCUGCGGCCCACACGCGGGACAGUAAUCAAAUCAGAUGCGAAUGCGAGUGCGAGUGCGGAUCCAAAGUGCAGCUUAGUAAUGCCAGACCUGGCAGAGACUGCCGCGCGGCAACGGGGCGUAUGAGUGACGACAAUGGCGAUGACCUCGCACUCGAGGGGCGGUGGGCGGUGGGCGGAGGGCCGGCUCCGGGGCCAUCACCCAGCCAGCCGCAUGCAAAUGGCCCAGCAGCUGAUGGCUGAUUGCUCAAACGAAAUGAAAACAAACAACCGACGCUGUCAGCUGGAGAAGCGGUCUCUAGUAUAUUUUAAUUACACUUGUGUGAACACCGCCGCCGGCAAUUGAAAUAUUUUUCCGUCUCUAAUCUACGACCAAUUUAAUAUGAAUUGAAUAAAUGAAUAGAUGGCAAUCGUA